This 322-nucleotide ribosomal RNA is filed under the name uncultured eukaryote. RNAcentral's name for it is "partial 18S ribosomal RNA". It matches the Rfam family "Eukaryotic small subunit ribosomal RNA", at positions 1470 to 1796 of the family's 1831-position model. The record is from RNAcentral.
CCCUUAGAUGUUCUGGGCCGCACGCGUGCUACACUGAGUGGAUCAGCGGGUCAGGAUGCGCGAAAGCGUUUCCUAAUCUUUAAAUCCGCUCGUGAUGGGGAUUGACGGUUGCAAUUUUCUGUCAUGAACGAGGAAUACCUUGUAAGCGCGGGUCAUCAUCCCGCGCUGAAUACGUCCCUGCCCUUUGUACACACCGCCCGUCGCUCCUACCGAUUGAGUGGUCCGGUGAGGCUUUGGGAUCUGAGCGGAAAGAGCGUUUCGCUGUUUCUGCUCGGAAAACUCAGUCGAACCUUAUCAUUUAGAGGAAGGAGAAGUCGUAACA